RNAcentral lists this ribosomal RNA (468 nucleotides) under uncultured bacterium. RNAcentral's name for it is "partial 16S ribosomal RNA". It matches the Rfam family "Bacterial small subunit ribosomal RNA", at positions 28 to 507 of the family's 1533-position model. The record is from RNAcentral.
GACGAACGCUGGCGGCGUGCUUAACACAUGCAAGUCGAACGGAAAGGCCCUGCUUUUGUGGGGUGCUCGAGUGGCGAACGGGUGAGUAACACGUGAGUAACCUGCCCUUGACUUUGGGAUAACUUCAGGAAACUGGGGCUAAUACCGGAUAGGAGCUCCUGCUGCAUGGUGGGGGUUGGAAAGUUUCGGCGGUUGGGGAUGGACUCGCGGCUUAUCAGCUUGUUGGUGGGGUAGUGGCUUACCAAGGCUUUGACAGGUAGCCGGCCUGAGAGGGUGACCGGCCACGUUGGGACUGAGAUACGGCCCAGACUCCUACGGGAGGCAGCAGUGGGGAAUAUUGCACAAUGGGCGGAAGCCUGAUGCAGCAACGCCGCGUGCGGGAUGACGGCCUUCGGGUUGUAAACCGCUUUCGCCUGUGACGAAGCGUGAGUGACGGUAAUGGGUAAAGAAGCACCGGCUAACUACGUG